AUACGUAGGUGGCAAGCGUUGUCCGGAAUUAUUGGGCGUAAAGCGCAUGUAGGCGGUGCCUUAAGUCUGUCGUGAAACUGCGGGGCCUAACCCCGUAUGGCGAUGGAAACUGUGGCACUUGAGUGCAGGAGAGGAAAGGGGAACUCCCAGUGUAGCGGUGAAAUGCGUAGAUAUUGGGAAGAACACCGGUGGCGAAGGGGCCUUUCUGGACUGUGUCUGACGCUGGGAUGCGAAAGCCAGGGUGGCGAACGGGAUGAGAUACCCCGGUAGUCCUGGCCGUAAACGAUGGGUACUAGGUGUGGGAGGUAUCGACCCCUUCCGUGCCGGAGUUAACGCAAUAAGUACCCCGCCUGGGGAGUACGGCCGCAAGGCUUAAACUCAAAUGAAUUGACGGGG
Molecule: ribosomal RNA, 396 nt
Filed under: uncultured bacterium
Lineage: Bacteria
Description: partial 16S ribosomal RNA
Rfam family: Bacterial small subunit ribosomal RNA
Source: RNAcentral